This is a long non-coding RNA of Monomorium pharaonis (pharaoh ant), 547 nucleotides long. RefSeq lists it as uncharacterized. The transcript has 2 exons. Lineage: Eukaryota; Metazoa; Arthropoda; Insecta; Hymenoptera; Formicidae. The record is from RefSeq and is a predicted model, not a curated record.
AUAGAUAAAAUAGUACUUUUGAGAAAUAUUAAACUGAAUUUCACAAUUGUGACUGUCCAUCUAGUGGUUAAUAAGCGAUUUAUUAGAUAACGAUGUCGCGCGGUGGAAGUUGACACUUGACAGUUUGACACGAUAAUCAAUUAACAUAACCUGACAUAACCUCAAAUUCGCGGUGAGAGAGGACACGUGUGACGCUCGCGAUGGAUCUUGUGAAGUUGAUUCUGGAAGAUGACUAGAGAAAAACGCCUUCUCAGUUUUCACGAAGUUGCGCGUAUUUCGUCUUUUUUUAAAUGAUAUACAAUAUCUUGUAACUUUGUGCCAAGAUGCGUUUUUAUCCCUGUGUGUAUGCAUGUCUGUGAACUCUUUGUCACAACCAGAUUUAUACUUAAAAAACCUAACGAGAGACAAUGUGCAGUUGUUAAUAAAAUCUGCCAAUUGAAUGAGUGGACGAAGUUGUAAUAGUCUUUAUUGUCAAAACCUACAUACAUAUUGUCUCGUUCAUGGGUUAUUCCAAAACCUAAACCUUUAACAAAGUGCAAGCAAUUUG